Molecule: ribosomal RNA, 253 nt
Filed under: uncultured bacterium
Lineage: Bacteria
Description: partial 16S ribosomal RNA
Rfam family: Bacterial small subunit ribosomal RNA
Source: RNAcentral
UACAGAGGGUGCGAGCGUUAAUCGGAAUGACUGGGCGUAAAGGGUGCGUAGGUGGUUUGCUAAGUUAGUUGUGAAAGCCCUGGGCUCAACCUGGGAAUGGCAGCUAAAACUGGGAAGCUAGAGUAUUGGAGAGGAGUGUGGAAUUUCCGGUGUAGCGGUGAAAUGCGUAGAGAUCGGAAAGAACACCAGUGGCGAAGGCGGCACUCUGGACAGAUACUGACACUGAGGCACGAAGGCGUGGGGAGCAAACAGG